This 381-nucleotide ribosomal RNA is filed under the name uncultured eukaryote. RNAcentral's name for it is "partial 18S ribosomal RNA". It matches the Rfam family "Eukaryotic small subunit ribosomal RNA", at positions 592 to 975 of the family's 1831-position model. The record is from RNAcentral.
CAAUAGCGUAUAUUAAAGUUGUUGCAGUUAAAAAGCUCGUAGUUGGACUUCUGCGGGUGGCGGCCGGUCGUGCUCGAAACGGGCGUGAACUUGGCGUGCUGCCCGCAUCUUUGGGGGGAUUGUGCGUGGCAUUAAGUUGUCGUGCAUGGGAUUCUCAUCAUUUACUGUGAAAAAAUUAGAGUGUUUAAAGCAGGCCUUUGCCUUGAAUACAUUAGCAUGGAAUAAUAAGAUAGGACCGUUGUCUAUUUUGUUGGUUUACAGAUGUCGGUAAUGAUUAAUAGGGAUAGUUGGGGGUAUUCGUAUUCAGUUGUCAGAGGUGAAAUUCUUGGAUUUUCGGAAGACGCACGACUGCGAAAGCAUUUACCAAGGAUGUUUUCAUUA